RNAcentral lists this ribosomal RNA (274 nucleotides) under uncultured bacterium. RNAcentral's name for it is "partial 16S ribosomal RNA". It matches the Rfam family "Bacterial small subunit ribosomal RNA", at positions 523 to 796 of the family's 1533-position model. The record is from RNAcentral.
AUACAGAGGGUGCGAGCGUUAAUCGGAAUUACUGGGCGUAAAGCGCGCGUAGGCGGUCUAUUAAGUCAGAUGUGAAAUCCCAGGGCUCAACCUUGGAACUGCAUCUGAUACUGGUAGACUCGAGUUUUGGAGAGGGAAGUAGAAUUUCAGGUGUAGCGGUGAAAUGCAUAGAGAUCUGAAGGAAUACCAGUGGCGAAGGCGACUUCCUGGCCAAAAACUGACGCUGAGGUGCGAAAGCGUGGGUAGCAAACGGGAUUAGAAACCCUAGUAGUCC